RNAcentral lists this long non-coding RNA (249 nucleotides) under Mytilus galloprovincialis (Mediterranean mussel). The record is from RNAcentral. Lineage: Eukaryota; Metazoa; Mollusca; Bivalvia; Mytilida; Mytilidae.
CGAACAACUGAAUACGAAGCCGUCAAAGAAUUUCCCUUUUUACAUAGGUAUCACCUUUACAUCGUAUAAAAGAGGCAAACGAUACCAAAGGGACAUUCAAACUCAUGAGUCGAAAAUAAACUGACAACGCCAUAGAUUAAAACGAAAAAGACAAACAGACAAACAACUGUACGCAAAUCACAACAUAGAAAACUUCAGACCAAGCAACAUGAAUUUACGACAUCCUUUCCUAUUUGUUUUCCACGGGGG